This 465-nucleotide ribosomal RNA is filed under the name uncultured bacterium. RNAcentral's name for it is "partial 16S ribosomal RNA". It matches the Rfam family "Bacterial small subunit ribosomal RNA", at positions 28 to 507 of the family's 1533-position model. The record is from RNAcentral.
GACGAACGCUGGCGGCGUGCUUAACACAUGCAAGUCGAACGGAAAGGCCCUGCUUGCAGGGUACUCGAGUGGCGAACGGGUGAGUAACACGUGGGUGAUCUGCCCUGCACUUCGGGAUAAGCCUGGGAAACUGGGUCUAAUACCGGAUAGGAGCCAUUUUUAGUGUGAUGGUUGGAAAGUUUUUUCGGUGUAGGAUGAGCUCGCGGCCUAUCAGCUUGUUGGUGGGGUAAUGGCCUACCAAGGCGGCGGCGGGUAGCCGGCCUGAGAGGGUGGAAGGCCACCAUGGGGACGAGGGAAGGCCCAGGCUGCCAAGGGGGGGAGCAGUGGGGAAUAUUGCACCAUGGGCGGAAGGCUGAUGAAGCGACGCCGCGGGGGGGAUGACGGCCUUCGGGUUGUAAACUCCUUUCGCUAGGGACGAAGCUUUUUGUGACGGUACCUAGAUAAGAAGCACCGGCUAACUACGUG